RNAcentral lists this ribosomal RNA (251 nucleotides) under uncultured prokaryote. RNAcentral describes it as "partial 16S ribosomal RNA". It matches the Rfam family "Bacterial small subunit ribosomal RNA", at positions 524 to 774 of the family's 1533-position model. The record is from RNAcentral.
UACGGAGGAUGCGAGCGUUAUCCGGAUUUAUUGGGUUUAAAGGGUGCGUAGGCGGCCGAGUAAGUCAGCGGUGAAAUUUUGCAGCUUAACUGUAACAGUGCCGUUGAUACUGCAUGGCUAGGAUUUGGUUGCUGUGGGUGGAAUGUGUGGUGUAGCGGUGAAAUGCUUAGAUAUCACACAGAAUAUCAAUUGCGAAGGCAGCUCACAAAGCCAAGAUUGACGCAGAGGCACGAAAGUGUGGGGAUCAAACA